ACUGGAGUUUGAUCCUGGCUCAGAUUGAACGCUGGCGGAAUGCUUUACACAUGCAAGUCGAACGGUAGAGGGGGCAACCCCUUGAGAGUGGCGAACGGGUGAGUAAUGCGUCGGAACGUGCCCAGUCGUGGGGGAUAACGUAGUGAAAUUACGCUAAUACCGCAUACGAUCUAUGGAUGAAAGCGGGGAUCGCAAGACCUCGCGCGAUUGGAGCGGCCUGCGUCCGAUUAGCUAGUUGGUGGGGUAAAGGCCUACCAAGCCUGCGAUCUGUAGCUGGUCUGAGAGGACGACCAGCCACACUGGAACUGAGACACGGUCCAGACUCCGUACGGGAGGCAGCGAGUGGGGAAUUUUUGG
RNAcentral lists this ribosomal RNA (357 nucleotides) under uncultured Limnohabitans sp. RNAcentral's name for it is "bacterial SSU rRNA". It matches the Rfam family "Bacterial small subunit ribosomal RNA", at positions 1 to 368 of the family's 1533-position model. The record is from RNAcentral. Lineage: Bacteria; Pseudomonadati; Pseudomonadota; Betaproteobacteria; Burkholderiales; Comamonadaceae.